AAUGAACGCUGGCGGCGCGCCUAAUACAUGCAAGUCGAGCGAGAAGACGUAGCAAUACGUUUGUAAAGCGGCGAACGGGUGAGGAAUACAUGGGUAACCUACCCUAGAGUGGGGAAUAACUAGCCGAAAGGUUAGCUAAUACCGCGUACGCUCCUUGGACUUCGGUUCAGGGAGGAAAGCGAUACCGAGGGUAUCGCGCUCUUGGAUGGGCUCAUGUCCUAUCAGCUUGUUGGUGAGGUAACGGCUCACCAAGGCUUCGACGGGUAGCUGGUCUGAGAGGACGAUCAGCCACACUGGCACUGCGACACGGGCCAGACUCCUACGGGAGGCAGCAGUAAGGAAUAUUGCGCAAUGGGCGAAAGCCUGACGCAGCGACGCCGCGUGGGGGAGUGAAGGGU
RNAcentral lists this ribosomal RNA (398 nucleotides) under uncultured bacterium. Its description in RNAcentral is "bacterial SSU rRNA". It matches the Rfam family "Bacterial small subunit ribosomal RNA", at positions 29 to 416 of the family's 1533-position model. The record is from RNAcentral.